GCGAAGCUCCUGAUCGAAGCCCCAGUAAACGGCGGCCGUAACUAUAACGGUCCUAAGGUAGCGAAAUUCCUUGUCGGGUAAGUUCCGACCUGCACGAAUGGCGUAAUGAUGGCCAGGCUGUCUCCACCCGAGACUCAGUGAAAUUGAACUCGCUGUGAAGAUGCAGUGUACCCGCGGCAAGACGGAAAGACCCCGUGAACCUUUACUAUAGCUUGACACUGAACAUUGAGCCUUGAUGUGUAGGAUAGGUGGGAGGCUUUGAAGUGUGGACGCCAGUCUGCAUGGAGCCAACCUUGAAAUACCACCCUUUAACGUUUGAUGUUCUAACCUAGGCCCAUAAACUGGGUCGGGGACCGUGUCUGGUGGGUAGUUUGACUGGGGCGGUCUCCUCCUAAAGAGUAACGGAGGAGCACGAAGGUUGGCUAAGCAUGGUCGGACAUCAUGCGGUUAGUGCAAAGGCAUAAGCCAGCUUGACUGCGAGAGUGACGGCUCGAGCAGGUACGAAAGUAGGUCUUAGUGAUCCGGUGGUUCUGAAUGGAAGGGCCAUCGCUCAACGGAUAAAAGGUACUCCGGGGAUAACAGGCUGAUACCGCCCAAGAGUUCAUAUCGACGGCGGUGUUUGGCACCUCGAUGUCGGCUCAUCACAUCCUGGGGCUGAAGUAGGUCCCAAGGGUAUGGCUGUUCGCCAUUUAAAGUGGUACGCGAGCUGGGUUUAGAACGUCGUGAGACAGUUCGGUCCCUAUCUGCCGUGGGCGUUGGAAGAUUGAGAGGGGUUGCUCCUAGUACGAGAGGACCGGAGUGAACGCACCACUGGUGUUCGGGUUGUCAUGCCAAUGGCAUUGCCCGGUAGCUAAGUGCGGAAGAGAUAACCGCUGAAAGCAUCUAAGCGGGAAACUUGCCUCGAGAUGAGUCUUCCCUGUCGCUUUAAGCGACCUAAAGGAACGUUUAAGACUAAGACGUUGAUAGGCUGGGUGUGUAAGCGUAGCGAUACGUUGAGCUAACCAGUACUAAUGAACCGUGAGGCUUAACCUGACAACACCGAA
Molecule: ribosomal RNA, 1043 nt
Filed under: Proteus mirabilis
Lineage: Bacteria; Pseudomonadati; Pseudomonadota; Gammaproteobacteria; Enterobacterales; Morganellaceae
Description: partial 23S ribosomal RNA
Rfam family: Bacterial large subunit ribosomal RNA
Source: RNAcentral